ACUUUACUCCCUCCCUCCGAAAAUAUUUGUCAUCAAAAUGAAUAAAAAGGGAUAUAUCUCGACGUAUUUUAGUGCUAGAUGCAUCUCUUUUUAUCUAUUUUGAUGACAAGUAUUUUCGGACGGAGGGAGUAGUAU
This is a non-coding RNA of Triticum aestivum (bread wheat), 135 nucleotides long. The record is from Rfam. NCBI's taxonomy places the organism in Eukaryota, Viridiplantae, Streptophyta, Magnoliopsida, Poales, Poaceae.